Non-coding RNA from Cordylochernes scorpioides, 94 nucleotides. The record is from the annotation of a GenBank genome assembly. Lineage: Eukaryota; Metazoa; Arthropoda; Arachnida; Pseudoscorpiones; Chernetidae.
GCCCGGGUCAUUCGUCUAGUUUAAUAUAUAAACAGUGGUCAUGGCAUCUGCCCGGUAAGCGGAAGGUCGUGGGUUCGAUUCCCAUCCCUUGACA